Molecule: ribosomal RNA, 496 nt
Filed under: uncultured bacterium
Lineage: Bacteria
Description: partial 16S ribosomal RNA
Rfam family: Bacterial small subunit ribosomal RNA
Source: RNAcentral
AUGAACGCUGGCGGCGUGCCUAAUACAUGCAAGUCGAGCGAACAGACGAGGAGCUUGCUCCUCCGACGUUAGCGGCGGACGGGUGAGUAACACGUGGAUAACCUACCUAUAAGACUGGGAUAACUUCGGGAAACCGGAGCUAAUACCGGAUAAUAUAUUGAACCGCAUGGUUCAAUAGUGAAAGACGGUUUUGCUGUCACUUAUAGAUGGAUCCGCGCCGCAUUAGCUAGUUGGUAAGGUAACGGCUUACCAAGGCGACGAUGCGUAGCCGACCUGAGAGGGUGAUCGGCCACACUGGAACUGAGACACGGUCCAGACUCCUACGGGAGGCAGCAGUAGGGAAUCUUCCGCAAUGGGCGAAAGCCUGACGGAGCAACGCCGCGUGAGUGAUGAAGGUCUUCGGAUCGUAAAACUCUGUUAUUAGGGAAGAACAAAUGUGUAAGUAACUAUGCACGUCUUGACGGUACCUAAUCAGAAAGCCACGGCUAACUACGUG